This 253-nucleotide ribosomal RNA is filed under the name uncultured bacterium. RNAcentral describes it as "partial 16S ribosomal RNA". It matches the Rfam family "Bacterial small subunit ribosomal RNA", at positions 524 to 776 of the family's 1533-position model. The record is from RNAcentral.
UACAGAGGGUGCAAGCGUUAAUCGGAAUUACUGGGCGUAAAGCGUGCGUAGACGGUUACAUAGGUCGGGUGUGAAAGCCCCGGGCUCAACCUGGGAAUUGCAUUCGAGACUGCGUAGCUAGGGUGCGGAAGAGGGAAGCGGAAUUUCCGGUGUAGCGGUGAAAUGCGUAGAUAUCGGAAGGAACACCAGUGGCGAAAGCGGCUUCCUGGUCCAGCACCGACGUUCAGGCACGAAAGCGUGGGGAGCAAACAGG